This 9419-nucleotide long non-coding RNA is filed under the name Octopus vulgaris (common octopus). The record is from RNAcentral. Lineage: Eukaryota; Metazoa; Mollusca; Cephalopoda; Octopoda; Octopodidae.
CAAACAUUUUCUUUUCAUUUUUUUUUUUCAAUUAAGUUUUUUUUAUUUAUUUCGAACCAUGUAUAUAUAUAAUAUUUUUUUAAAAACUUUUUUGUUGAAGUUUUGAUCUUUUUUUUUUAAUUAUAUUUCUGUUUGUUUGUUAUUUUUCCAUUUUUAUUUUUUUUGUUUGUAGUAAAGGACCUGGAAGGAAACACUGUUAUAUAAUUAUUAAAACUUGAUAUCAAUAAAAAAAAAAACAACAAAAAAUCGCAACAAACAAUCGAUUGAUUGAUUGAUCAAUCAGUCAGACAAACAGACAGACAUAAUGAACACAAGACUUGGAAAAUAGUUGCUUAAAUAAAGCCAUAAUAUUGAUAUCAUUACUUUGGAUAAAAGGCAAAGUCAAUACUGGUGAGAUUCAACUCAGAAUAGUGCAGAGAAUAACAACAACAAUAGUAAUAAUAAUAGUAAUAAUAAUAAUAAUAAUAAUACAAUAGGCACAAGGCCUGAAAUUUUGGGGGAAGGGGCUGGUCAGUUACAUCGACCCCAGUGAGUAACUGGUACUUAAUUUAUCGACCCUGAAAGGCAAAAUCGACCUCGGUGGAAUUUGAACUCAAAACCUAGUGAUAGGCGAAAUACCUAUUUCUUUACUACCCACAAGGGGCUAAACACAGAGAGGACAAACAAAUGGAUUAAGUCGAUUAUAUCGACCCCAGUGUGUAACUGGUAUUUAUUUAAUCGACCCCGAAAGGAUGAAAGGCAAAGUUGACCUCGGCGGAAUUUGAACUCAGAAUGUAGCGGCAGGCGAAAUACCACAAAGCAUUUCGCCCGGCAUGCUAACAAUUCUGCCAGCUUUGUCACCUUAAUAAUAAUAAUAAUAAUAAUAAUAAUAAUAAUAAUAAUAAUAAUAAUAAUAACUGUUUCUAAUUGAGGCACAAGGUCAACCAUUUUGUUAAACUGAAUUUAAUUUGUAUUCAAUACUCGACUGGUACUUUAUUUUUCUCAACCCCAGAGGGAAGAAAAGGCAAAGUUGAUCUAGGUGGGAUUGAAACAUAGAAUGUAAGGAGAAUGUAAAGGCAUUUUCUUUUUCAAUGCUCUAAUGAUUCGGCCAAUCCAUUGCCCUAACUAAUAAUAAUAAUAAUAAUAAUAAUAAUAAUAAUAAUAAUAAUAAUCCUUUCUACUAUAAGCACAAGGCCUGAAAUUUGGGAAGAGAGGAGUAGUCAACUACAUCGAUCCCUGUGUUUCACUGGUACUUAAUUUAUUGACCCUGAAAGGAUGAAAGGCAAAGUCAACUGCAGUGGAAUUUGAACUCAGAACGUAAAGAUGAAUGAAAUGCUGUUAAGCAUUUUGCUCAGCACUCUAACAUUUCUGCCACCUCACUGCCUUAAACAACAACAACAAUAAUAACAAUAAUAAUAAUAAUAAUAAUCCUUUCUACUAUAGGCAAUAAUAAUAAUAAUAAUCCUUUCUACUAUAGACACAAGACCUGAAAUUUGCAAGGUGGGGUCUAGUCAAUUACAUCGACCCCAGUGUAUCACUGGUACUUAAUUUAGCAAUCCCAAAAGCAUGAAAGGCAAAGUCGACCGUGGCAGAAUUUGAACUCAGAAUGUAUUUUGUCCAACGUGCUAAUGAUUCUGCCAGCUUGCUGCCUUAAAUAAUAAUAAUAAUAAUAAUAAUAAUAAUAAUUCUUUCUAAUUUUUGGCACAAGGCCAGCAAUUUUGAGGGGAAGAAGUUAGUCAAUACCAUCGGCGCUAGUUUUUGACAUGUACUUCAUUUUAUCAACCCCAGAGGAAUGUAAAGCAAAGUUUGCUUCAGUAGGAUUCGAACUCAGUACGUAAAAAAACAAAUCGGAAUAAAUACCAUACUACAUUUUGUUUGACAUACUAACUAUUCUGCAGAUUCACAUCUUAUGAUUUCUAAUAAAUAUAUAUUUUUUUGUGAUUUUGGCAUAGAACCAAAAUUUUGAGAGGAGGGUGUUAGUUGAUACCAUUGAACCCCAGCAGAUGACUGGUACUUUAUUUUAUUGACUCCUAAGAGAUGGAAGGCAAAGCUGACUUUGGGUGGGAUUUGACCUCAGUACAUACAAAAAUUGGAAUAAAUGCCUCAGGGUAUUUUGUCUGAUGUUCUAUUGAUUUUGCCAAUCCACUACUCUAAUGACUUCAGAUAAUAAUAAUAAUAAUAAUAAUAAUAAUAAUAAUAAUAUGAGAUAACUUGACUGAAGUGUGGAAAAUGAAGAAGGUGAAGAUAGUGCCAAUUAUUGUCGGGUCCUUGGUGACAGUAUCAGAAGGCAUCAAGAGGAAUAUGAAGGAAAUGGGAAUAGAGUGUCAAGCAGAAUGGUUACAAGUUUUACAUCCUUGGCAUGGCCAGAACAAUCAGGUAAGUUUUACAGAUAGCAUGGUACCAUAGGUUGCAGAUAAGAAGCUCAUUAUGCAUUCAAGGCUCCAGGAGUUCAAACAAAACCAGAGUUAACAAUAAUAAUAAUAAUAAUAAUAGUUAUAAUAAUGGUUUUCAAUUUUGGCACAAGACCAGCAAUUGUGGAGGCAAAUGCAAGUCAAUUAUAUCAACCCCAGUGCUCAUCUGGUACUUAUUUUAUCGACCCCCAAAAGGCUGAAAUGCUGCUAGGAAUUUUGCCCAGCAAUUUGACUACACUGUCAGCUCACCACGAUGAUGAUGAUGAUGAUGGUGGUAAUAAUAAUGAUAAUAAUUUGAUACAAGAGUAGACAAACAACACGAGAAAAGACAAAAAAUAGCAGAACUUACAAUACAAACUUCAGAGAACCCUUAAAUGUAGUGAAGUUGUUACUAUCCCAAUUGUAAUAAAAGCCUCAGGCACAUAGUUGUAAGGAAUUUAAACGGUUGGUUAGAGACAUUGGAUAUUGGGCUGAAUUUCCUGACAUGACAGAAAACCUGUUUGUUUGGCAUAGCAAGAACCAUAAGAAAGAGACUAGAUACAUAACGUUGUAGAAUGUGGCUUGGUAUCUGGACAUCAAGCAAUCCAAUACCAGCAGAACAAGAAAAUUCUGCAUGACUGAUGUUAACCAAGAGUGAGAUUUAAAGUGAAGUGACAGGAAAACAAUACAAACAUGAGUCAGAGGCAGUGAUAGCAAAUAAUAAUAACCUCAGCAAAAUACAAGUUUAAUAGACCAGAGAAAAGAAAUUAUGAACAACAAUGGAAAUCUGUUGCCCAUCAGAUGUUAAUCUUUAUAUAUAAAGCUGAAGUUGUCUGUGUGUGUGUGUGUUUGUGUGGCAGGUUUGGUAGCCUUCAACUGACACUAUCUCCUCCGAGACCCUGCAGCGCAAGUUGACCAAAAUUGACAGUAUGAUAGAAGAAGGCUUGCUCUUCAUUCCGUAGAAGGAAAAAAUUAAAAUCGGACCAUGUUAAGACCAAAAAUUAUUUACUUCAAAAAGGUGCUUUUUUCUAUGAAAAUCCCUAUUUUUUACGAUGUUUUGACUGCUGUGUCGCCAUUUUUCGGUGUAUUUCAACUAGAAAAAUUUUUGCUUAAAAAGAAUAACAAGCUACAUUAUGCAAAAUUUUUACUUUUCAAAAAUUCCAAUUCUAAAGGGUCGAAAAGAAAACAAACCCGAGCAACGCCGGGCUAUACUGCUAGUAUUAUGUUAAAGAUGAGUGAAAAAGAAAACAUUCUGAAGUAAUGAGAAAUGUGCAGUUACUCCAGCCAGACUAUAGCUUUAAGUUUUUAGCAUUUAAACCAGCCAUACCCAGCCCAAAUAUUUCACCUAUUUUAUGUUCGAACUGGCCAGAUCUGGUUUCUCAUACCUAUCCUGCAAUGCUACCCUAAAAAUAGACAAUCAUAUCACCAAAAUCUCAAAGCUAUAAUACAUGAUUAAUACAAAACAAUGUGAAUAGAUAAAACAUCACAUUCGACAGAGUAGUCUGAAUGCUAAAGGGUUAAAUUCAUACUUACUGCAUAUGGCAGUGUAUAAGAUACACUUUUUAUUCUUAAAUCAUCAUUGUUUAACGUCCGCUUUCCAUGCUAGCAUGGGUUGGACGAUUUUGAAUGAGGGCUGGCGAACCAGAUGGCUGCACCAGGCUCCAAUCUUGAUCUGGCAGAGUUUCUACAGCUGGAUGCCCUUCCUAACGCCAACCACUCUGAGAGUGUAGUGGGUGAUUUUUACGUGCCACUGGCACAAGGGGCCAGUCAGGCGGUACUAGCAACGACCUCGCUCGAAUCUUUUUACACAUGCUACCUGCACAGGUGCCAGUAAGGUGAUGCUGGUAACGAUCAUGCUCGAAUGGUGCCUUUUACAUGCCACCGGCACAGAAGCCAGUUAGCCGCCCUGGCAACGAUCACGCUUGGAUGGUGCUCUUAGCACCUUACUAGCAUGGGCACAAGUGCCAGUAAGGUGAGGCUGGUAACGAUCACACGUAGCAAAAAAAUUGCCAUGCAUCAAAUGCAACUGUAUUAUAGAUGGGACACCAAGUGAUGAAACAUAUCAAAUCUGUUUUUUCCACAAAAUAUAAUUUCCUUCCUCAAAAAAAAAUAGGGGUUUGUCCCAGAUAAGAGUGUGUUCUAUACAUCAGAAAAUACAGUAUCGGAGCACUUGAAUGCAGAAUUAACAGCCUCAGCAAUAAUUUUGAGAAGAUGGGCAUUACAAAGCCAGAAAUAGCAUGGCCAGUUAUAAAAUUAUAGCUACAAGUCAUUGGAGACACUGUGUAAAUUAUGUAAAACAUUCAAGACAUUUAGAAUGUGAUAAGUGCAUAUACACACAUAUAAACAUGUGUAUAUUCUACCAUCUGAAUGACAGAUGGUAGAAUAAUCAUAACAACAUGGUAAUUUUACAAUAGAAAAUAGCUAUGACAACAGGGUAAAUUUAAUGUAGAAAAUAAACUAUGGCAACAGGGUAAUUUCACAGUAGAAAAUAGUUAUGACAACAGGGUAGAAUAGCUUUGACAAUAGAGUAAUUUCACUAUAGAAAAUAGCUAUGAUAAUCCAUGACUGCACAUAUGUAUACAAGUGCACAUACAUACACGCAUAUAUAUAUAUAUAUAUAUAUAUAUCCCGUCCAACCCGAGCUAGCACGGAAAAUGGACAUUAAACAAUGAUGAUGAUGCAUAUGUAUGGGCACAGAUGUGGUUGUGUAGUAAGAAGCUUGCUUCCCAACCACCUGGUUCCAGGUUCAGUCCUACUGCAUGGUACCUUGAGCAAGUUUCUUCUACAAUAGCCUCAGGCUGACCAAAGCCUUGUGAAUGGAUUCGGUAGAUGGAAACUGAAAGAAACCCGACAUAUAUAUGUAUAUGUGUGUGCAUAAAUAUGUAUCUAUGUGUGUAUCUUUGUGUCUGUUUUUGUCCUCCAUGUUCCUGUAACUUAACGCUUCAGCAAAAAAGACCAAUAAAAUAAUUACCAGGGUUAAAAAUGCUAAAAUCCUUCAAGGUAGUGCCCCAGCAUGGCCAGAGUCUAAUAACUGAAACAAAGUAAAAGAUAAAAGAAAAAAAUAUGUGUAUGCAUAAGUACAUGACCACCCCACUGAUUUGACUAAAUUCCAAAGUAAGAGUCUUGUUUUGAAUUUCAAACCAAGUUUUUUUCUAUUAGGGAAAAAAUAUUUGCAAACUAAAACCAGAGCACAUACUAUGAGCUUCCACACAGUUUCCAUUCACCAGAUUUCACUCAUAAGGUAUCAUUUAACCUAAAGGUUUGAUAAAAAAAAUAAAAAUAGUAAAAUCUUAUACAAUGUGUUGUAGAAUAGGAUUGAAUCAGGUACCACAAGGUUGAAAACCAAACUUCUUAACCAUUCAACCACGCCUUUGCCCUUCAUUCUUCCAGUGGUUGAUAAAACAAGUACCAGUGAUAUACUGAGGUCUGUUUAUUCAACUGAAUACAUUCCCCUUUAAAUUUUCUAUCCAUGUGCAAACAUUAAAAGCAGAUGGGUCAAUAAAAUAAGUACCAGUUGAAUAUUGGGGUCAAUGUAACCAACUUAGCUCUCCCUUAAAAUUGCUGGUCAUGCGCCUAAAUUUGAAACUAAUAUUAAAAGGGGACAGUAGAUCAAUAGAGAAUUAGACAAACAUGCUUUCAGUACUUUUUCUCUUUUUUUUUUUUUUUUUUUCUUUACUUGUUUCAGUCAUUUUGAUUGCGGUCAUUCUGGAGCACCGCCUUUAAUCGAGCAAAUCGGCCCCAGAACUUAUUCUUUGUAAGCCCAGUACUUAUUCUAUCGGUCUCUUUUGCCGAACCGCUAAGUGACGGGGACAUAAACACACCAGCAUCAGUUAUCAAGCAAUGCUAGGGGGACAAACACAGACACACAAACAUACACGCACAUACAUAUAUAUACAUAUAUACGACGGGCUUCUUUCAGUCCGUCUACCAAAUCCACUCACAAGGCUUUGGUCAGCCCGAGGCUAAAGUAGAAGACACUUGCCCAAGGUUCCACGCAGUGGGACUGAACCCGGAACCAUGUGGUUGGUAAACAAGCUACUUACCACACAGCCACUCCUGCGCCUAAUUGUGAUCUUUUACAUUCAGUUUGAUUCCAACCAGAGUCAACUUCACCUUUCAUUCUUCCAUGAGGGUUAGUAAGCUAUAAAAACAACCAAGUACUAUUCUUUCCCCACAAAACCUUGUGGCCUUGUGCCUACGUCAGAAAUCAAUAUUAAAAGAUUUUUUUUUAAAUGCCAACAGUAAUAACUGCAACAACAAACAAAAUGACAAUGACACUGUUGUAUAAAAUGUUAUGUAGAAAUUGUAAAAAUUCAUGAGCAACAGUAUUGUGACAAGUGAGCACAGAAAAUAUGAAAAUAAUAAUUAAAACAAGCCUCAGAAAAGAGCCAUAGCAAAAGCAUCAUUUUACCACUGAAAAUAUUCAUGACUAAUAAGUAAUUUUACCACUGAAAAUAGUCAUAAUAAAGUGUAGUUUUACAACUGAAAACAGUCAAGAGUAAUGUGUAAUUGUAUCAUUGAAAACAGCCAUGAUCAAAGUGUAGUUUUAACAGUGAAGUAGUCAAACAGAGUCGUCUAACUACGUAAAAUAUAUCAAUGAAUACAGGGUAGUUUUAUUACAGAAAAAUAUCCAUGAGUAUAGGGUAGAUUUUAACAAAUAUAUAGCCAUGACAACAGAGUAGUUUUGCAGCAAAAUGCAACCAUAAUGACUUGUAGAUUUUUUUUGUUUUUGUCAGAGAAAAAUAGCUGUGAUGAAGAGGGUAGUUUUAAAGUAGAAAAUGGUUAUAACAACAGAGUAAUUCUACAGUAGAAAAUAGCUAUGACAAUUUUAGUUUUACAGUAGAAAACAGUUAUAACAACAGGGUAGAUUUACAGUAGAAAAUAGCUAUGACAACAGGGUAAUUUUACAGUAGAAAAUAGCUUUGAUGACAGGGUAGUUUUACAGUAGAAAAUAACCAAGACAGCAGUAGAAUAAUCAUUGCAACAUGGUAAUUUUACAAUAGAAAACAGCUAAGACAACAGGGUAGAUUUACUGUAGAAAAUAAACUCUGACAAUGGUAAUUUUACAAUAGAAAAUAGUUAUAACAAGGCAGAAUAGCUAUGACAACUGGGUAGAGUCACAGAAGAAAAUAGCUAUGACAAGAGGGUAGUUUUACAGUAGAAAAUAGCUAUAACAAUGGUAGAAUAAUCAGGACAACAGGGUAAUUUUACAAUAGAGCAUAGCUAUGACACCAGGGUAGAUUUACUGUAGAAAAUAAACUAUGACAACAGGGUAGUUUUACAGUAGAAAAUAGCUACAACAGAUGGUAGUAUAAUCAGGACAACAGGGUAAUUUUACAAUAGAGCAUAGCUAUGACACCAGGGUAGAUUUACUAUAGAAAAUAACUAUGACAACAGGGUAGUUUUACAAUAGAAAAUAGCUUUUUUACAGUAGAGCAUAGCUAUGACAACAGGGUAGAUUUACUGUAGAAAAUAAACUAUGACAACAGGGUAGAAUAGGAAUAGCUAUGACAAUAAUGUAAUUUUACUGUAGAGAAUAGCUUUGACAUCAGGGUAGAUUUACAAUAGAAAAUAGCUAUGACAGCAGGGUAAAAUAAUUAUAAGGUAAUUUUACAUUAGAAAAUAGCAAUUAUAACAGGGUAAUUGUACUGUAGAAAAUAGUCAUAACAGGGUAGGAUUACAGUAGAAAAGAGCUAUGACAAGGUAAUUUCACAGUAGAAAAUAGAUAUGACAACAGGAUAAUUUUACAGUUAUGAUAGCUAUGACAACAGGGUGGAUUUACAAUAAAAAAUAGCUAUGACACUUUUGGUUUUACUGUAGAAAAUAGCUGUAACAACAGGCAGAUUUUAUUUUAAAAAAUCUUUUUAAUCUGUAGUGGUAUGUAGUUACUACAAAUGAAAAUAUUGUUAUAUUAAGUUUUGACUUAUUCAUCCAAAUUGGAAGCAUUGAAGAUAAUUUUUGCAAUCAUUAUUAUUAUUUUUAUUACAGGCACAAGUUUGUUUGCUUUUUUUCUUUUAUUUUACAAUAAUAAAAAAAAAAUUUUUCAUAGUAAAACAUGAUGAUGGAAAAUUAGAAAAAAAAUAAAUUAAAAAAUUGGCUUAUAAAUCUCAAGGCUUUAAGAAGAAUUGCAGUACCAAGGCAUUCCACAUUUUCAAACACAGCCUUGUAUUUAGCAUACAAGAUAAAAUACCCACAGAGUUCUUGUCAAUUCUUAAAAUUUUUCUUUAUUUAUCGUUAGAUAUUUCAGAUGGACAGAAGAUGCCCUGACAGAAUGCCAAGAAAGUUCUUUGACUGACCACAUUCUUAUAACAGGUACAAGAUGAACCAACAAGGGAGAGAGAAAGAGAGAGAGAGAGGUGGGGUAUAAUGUGGUCACACAUCCUGCAAGAAACAGCAGCUACAUCUCCUUCAUACUAUACCCUAACAUCUCAAAAUCAAAAGGACACAUGGAAUAAAGCAGUCCAGUAUAUAUUAUGCUUAGAAAAAAAGGGAAAAAAAAAAGAAAAAAAAUCAUCAAACAUGGUCAUAGCUGGAAUGCCUUUGACCAUAGGUCUGCUUAAUCAAAGCCAACUUGGGGCUAAUCUGCAAAUCAGCUACAAGACACACAACACUUGUUUAAUCUCUUUUUUUUUUGUCUUUUUUGUUGUUGUUGUUGGAUACAUUUUUACCAAAUGAUUAAUAAAAAAAAAACCAUGAACUAAUAAACUUGUUUAAUUUGAACAAAUCGUUAUUGUAAAAAUAUUUACAAUUUUUUUUUUCUUUUGUCUUUUGUUGUUGUCCAUUAGGAACAAGAAAUAAGGCAAUAAUUUCCAUAUAAAAUAUAAAUAAAGAAAAAAUGGAAGCAAAAAAAAACCAGAUAAAUAAAUAAAAGAGUAUUUAAAACAGUUGAUGUAUAUUAUAUAUACAUACAUAUGUAUUUAUAUGUAUGCAUACACAUAUAUAUACACAAACAUGUGUGUGUGUAAGUGAUGUGCAUGUGUAUGCAUGUAUAUAUACAUCUGUGCAUUUAUGUUUAUGUGUGAAACAGAUAUAAAAUGAUGAUGGUGAUUA